Molecule: ribosomal RNA, 402 nt
Filed under: uncultured Sphingomonas sp.
Lineage: Bacteria; Pseudomonadati; Pseudomonadota; Alphaproteobacteria; Sphingomonadales; Sphingomonadaceae
Description: bacterial SSU rRNA
Rfam family: Bacterial small subunit ribosomal RNA
Source: RNAcentral
UGGGGAAUAUUGGACAAUGGGCGAAAGCCUGAUCCAGCAAUGCCGCGUGAGUGAUGAAGGCCUUAGGGUUGUAAAGCUCUUUUACCCGGGAUGAUAAUGACAGUACCGGGAGAAUAAGCUCCGGCUAACUCCGUGCCAGCAGCCGCGGUAAUACGGAGGGAGCUAGCGUUGUUCGGAAUUACUGGGCGUAAAGCGCACGUAGGCGGCUUUGUAAGUCAGAGGUGAAAGCCUGGAGCUCAACUCCAGAACUGCCUUUGAGACUGCAUGGCUUGAAUCCAGGAGAGGUGAGUGGAAUUCCGAGUGUAGAGGUGAAAUUCGUAGAUAUUCGGAAGAACACCAGUGGCGAAGGCGGCUCACUGGACUGGUAUUGACGCUGAGGUGCGAAAGCGUGGGGAGCAAACA